GCGGGCCUCCGCGUCCGCGGCGGCAUCCGGGCUCCCGGUGUGUCGCGCGUCUGGCGGGGGCGUCCCUGCGCGCGCACUGAGCACUGGGGGACUGGGGACGGGGUGGCGCGGUGUGCAGAGACCCCAGGCAGAGGCUGGGAGGUCCUGGGACCCCGGCUGGGGUGCGCGCCUCCAGGGCCAGCACCUCACAGUGGUCCCUAGGCCUGGCCUGGCCUUGCAGGGCGCUGGCUGCAUCGUGUGUGUGUGUGUCGGUGUCUGUCUGAUGGGGUGUCUUCAGGUCUCCUGUCUGUGUGUCGGUCUGUCUGGCCACCGGCCUGUUCUUGUAGCGCUGUGCGCCCGCGCGGGGAGUCGCCCAGUUUGUUCACGUCCACGUCAAAGGGAGGCGGGAGCAGCUGCCACUGGUUUUUUCCAGGAUGUGUAAAGGAAGUUGCCAUUGUGUUCUUUUCUAAGCCCAGAUCUCAACUCUGGGCGUCUCCAGGUGAAGCCUCUUUUGACUCUGUGCUCCCCAGCUGGUCUGACUGGGACGGGGCUGCCAGGGAGAACAGGACGCACCUGGGUGUGACCUGCCCGCACUCUGCUUCCAUGGUUUUGGAAGGCUUGCUUCUGUUUGCUGCUGUCAGAAAGAAAAACAGAAGCCAAGGGCCUUCCUGUGUAUCCCCAGCUGUCUUGGAACUGAGAGGUCUGCCUACCUCUGCCUCCUGAGUACAAGUGCCAGGAUUAAAGGCCUUCUGUGUUUCCCUCUUCAGAAGAAGGGGCUCCAUCUUCUCUCCCUUGAGUUCGUGCUGGACUGAUGAUCAGCUUUUGACUGACGUGAUGAUGGUCACCACUUCAGAGCCAGACAGUGGAGGCUCUGUGCCUUCCUCUUGACGCUCCCAGUAGAAUUACUCCCUGGAAGGGAGGCCGGCUGCCGUGAUGGGAAGAUACUCAGGCAGCCCCAAGACAGCAUCCAUGGGGCACGGAUUGGAGGCCUCCUGACAGAAGCCACGGACCUUUCUUUUUCCUCUUUCUUUCUUUUUUUCUAUUUUUUUUAAAUAAAAUAAACCAUGUGUACUUUGUCCUGUU
This is a non-coding RNA of Peromyscus maniculatus bairdii (prairie deer mouse), 1062 nucleotides long. The record is from RefSeq and is a predicted model, not a curated record. Lineage: Eukaryota; Metazoa; Chordata; Mammalia; Rodentia; Cricetidae.